UACGAAGGGUGCAAGCGUUACUCGGAAUUACUGGGCGUAAAGCGUGCGUAGGCGGUUUGUUAAGUCCGUUGUGAAAGCCCUGGGCUCAACCUGGGAAUUGCAGUGGAUACUGGCGGGCUAGAGUGCGGUAGAGGAUGGUGGAAUUCCCGGUGUAGCGGUGAAAUGCGUAGAGAUCGGGAGGAACACCCGUGGCGAAGGCGGCCAUCUGGACCAGCACUGACGCUGAGGCACGAAAGCGUGGGGAGCAAACAGG
RNAcentral lists this ribosomal RNA (253 nucleotides) under uncultured bacterium. Its description in RNAcentral is "partial 16S ribosomal RNA". It matches the Rfam family "Bacterial small subunit ribosomal RNA", at positions 524 to 776 of the family's 1533-position model. The record is from RNAcentral.